This 485-nucleotide ribosomal RNA is filed under the name uncultured bacterium. Its description in RNAcentral is "bacterial SSU rRNA". It matches the Rfam family "Bacterial small subunit ribosomal RNA", at positions 1 to 479 of the family's 1533-position model. The record is from RNAcentral.
AAUUCGCCCUUAGAGUUUGAUCAUGGCUCAGAUUGAACGCUGGCGGCAUGCCUUACACAUGCAAGUCGAACGGUAACGCGGGGCAGCCUGGCGACGAGUGGCGAACGGGUGAGUAAUAUAUCGGAACGUGCCCAGUCGUGGGGGAUAACUGCUCGAAAGAGCAGCUAAUACCGCAUACGACCUGAGGGUGAAAGCGGGGGAUCUUCGGACCUCGCGCGAUUGGAGCGGCCGAUAUCAGAUUAGGUAGUUGGUGGGGUAAAGGCCUACCAAGCCGACGAUCUGUAGCUGGUCUGAGAGGACGACCAGCCACACUGGGACUGAGACACGGCCCAGACUCCUACGGGAGGCAGCAGUGGGGAAUUUUGGACAAUGGGGGCAACCCUGAUCCAGCCAUGCCGCGUGCGGGAAGAAGGCCUUCGGGUUGUAAACCGCUUUUGUCAGGGAAGAAAUCCUUUGGGCUAAUAACUCGGAGGGAUGACGGUACC